GUCUCGAUGGUCUAAUGGUUAUGAUUUUCGUCUCACAAAGCCUAGUGUUCGCAACGGCCUGGAUGUAACGUCUUGUGCACGAAAGGUUCCCAGUUCGAUCCUGGGUCGAGACA
Non-coding RNA from Neolentinus lepideus HHB14362 ss-1, 113 nucleotides. The record is from the annotation of a GenBank genome assembly. NCBI's taxonomy places the organism in Eukaryota, Fungi, Basidiomycota, Agaricomycetes, Gloeophyllales, Gloeophyllaceae.